Molecule: non-coding RNA, 173 nt
Filed under: Vibrio mangrovi
Lineage: Bacteria; Pseudomonadati; Pseudomonadota; Gammaproteobacteria; Vibrionales; Vibrionaceae
Source: RNAcentral
AAAAACAUACGUUGCUUUGAUGUAUAUCCCACAGGGAUUCGGAAGUGAGGUGAAAAUCCUCCACAGCCCCCGCUGCUGUAAUGCUGACAACCUGAUCAAUCCACUGUGAAAACGGGAAGGGAUCAGGAAGGUUGAAGCUAAGUCAGAAGACGAGUCAAAGCAAUCCCGGAAAC